CAGUCGCCACGGGAAUACGUAGGUCCCGAGCGUUGUCCGGAAUUAUUGGGCGUAAAGGGCUCGCAGGCGGUUUCUUAAGUCUGAUGUGAAAGCCCCCGGCUCAACCGGGGAGGGUCAUUGGAAACUGGGAAACUUGAGUGCAGAAGAGGAGAGUGGAAUUCCACGUGUAGCGGUGAAAUGCGUAGAGAUGUGGAGGAACACCAGUGGCGAAGGCGACUCUCUGGUCUGUAACUGACGCUGAGGAGCGAAAGCGUGGGGAGCGAACAGGAUUAGAUACCCCAGUAGUCCCUGUCUCUUAUAC
Molecule: ribosomal RNA, 301 nt
Filed under: uncultured bacterium
Lineage: Bacteria
Description: partial 16S ribosomal RNA
Rfam family: Bacterial small subunit ribosomal RNA
Source: RNAcentral